UGACUAGAGAGAUUGAGAGAUAAGAUCAGCAAGGCUUUAAUUGUUUCUUAACCUGAGCGGCUAAGGAUAUGGUUGAAUGAAUAUUAUUAUUUAACUGCAUCAAUUUAGAGAGCAUCCUGGAGAUAAGCCUUAGAACGGUUGGGCUGAGAGCCUUCUUUUUUAAAGACUAGUGUACAGAUGUUCUUCUAAAAGAAGCAUCAAAAACCAAGCCUUGACUUCUAACAUUCACUAGUGCUUUGGUAACUCAGAAAAUGUACCUUAAAAAACCUCUCAGAUGGCGUGGUAUAUUCUUAUUGCUCCCUUUGUAUUUGCACUGUGAACUGUGCGUCAUGAUGAAACAACGUGAAUGGUGGAAGAGAGCUGGGUGAUUUUUCUGAGUGGUUUUUCUCAGUUGCCAUAGCAUUGCCCUUAAAACAGUAGGUUGAUUAAUUAGUCCUUACAAAGUUCUACAGAAUUCUUAAGCAACCGGUUCGA
This 474-nucleotide long non-coding RNA is filed under the name Phoenix dactylifera (date palm). RNAcentral's name for it is "long non-coding RNA (PDAC_LNC000980)". Lineage: Eukaryota; Viridiplantae; Streptophyta; Magnoliopsida; Arecales; Arecaceae. The record is from RNAcentral.